Molecule: ribosomal RNA, 253 nt
Filed under: uncultured bacterium
Lineage: Bacteria
Description: partial 16S ribosomal RNA
Rfam family: Bacterial small subunit ribosomal RNA
Source: RNAcentral
UACGUAGGGUGCAAGCGUUAAUCGGAAUUACUGGGCGUAAAGCGUGCGCAGGCGGUUAUGUAAGACAGAUGUGAAAUGCCCGGGCUUAACCUGGGAACUGCAUUUGUGACUGCAUGGCUAGAGUUUGGCAGAGGGGGGUAGAAUUCCACGUGUAGCGGUGAAAUGCGUAGAUAUGUGGAGGAACGCCGAUGGCGAAGGCAGCCCCCUGGGUCAAGACUGACGCUCAUGCACGAAAGCGUGGGGAGCAAACAGG